Molecule: small nuclear RNA, 107 nt
Filed under: Canis lupus familiaris (dog)
Lineage: Eukaryota; Metazoa; Chordata; Mammalia; Carnivora; Canidae
Also listed under: 1 other name
Source: RNAcentral
GUGCUCACUUGGGCAGCACAUGUACUAAAAUUGGAACAAAACAGAGAAGAUUAGCAUGGCCCCUGUGCAAGGAUGACACACAAAUUCAUGAAUAACACGGACUUAAC